CGAAAGCGUGGGGAGCGAACGGGAUUAGAUACCCCGGUAGUCCACGCUGUAAACUAUGCUUGCUAGCUGUUAGAAGUAUCGACCCUUCUAGUAGCGAAGCUAACGCGUUAAGCAAGCCGCCUGUGGAGUACGAGCGCAAGCUUAAAACAUAAAGGAAUUGACGGGGACCCGCACAAGCGGUGGAGCGUGUUGUUUAAUUCGAUGGUAAGCGAAGAACCUUAUCAGGGUUUGACAUCCUGGGAAUCUUUGUGAAAGCAAAGAGCGCCUUCGGGAAUCCAGUGACAGGUGUUGCAUGGCCGUCGUCAGCUCGUGUCAUGAGAUGUUUGGUUAAGUCCAUCAACGAGCGCAACCCUUAUAGUUAGUUGAAUUUCUCUAGCUAGACUGCCCCGGUAACGGGGAGGAAGGAGGGGAUGAUGUCAGGUCAGUAUUACCCUUACACCCUGGGCUACAAACACGCUACAAUGGCCGGUACAAAGCGCAGCCAACCCGCGAGGGGGAGCAAAUCGCAUCAAAGCCGGUCUCAGUUCGGAUAGCAGGCUGAAACUCGCCUGCUUGAAGCUGGAAUCGCUAGUAACGGUAGGUCAGCACACUACCGUGAAUACGUUCCCGGGUCUUGUACACACCGCCCGUCAAGUCAUGAAAGUCGCCAA
This 650-nucleotide ribosomal RNA is filed under the name uncultured bacterium. RNAcentral describes it as "bacterial SSU rRNA". It matches the Rfam family "Bacterial small subunit ribosomal RNA", at positions 754 to 1417 of the family's 1533-position model. The record is from RNAcentral.